This 420-nucleotide ribosomal RNA is filed under the name uncultured bacterium. RNAcentral describes it as "partial 16S ribosomal RNA". It matches the Rfam family "Bacterial small subunit ribosomal RNA", at positions 338 to 755 of the family's 1533-position model. The record is from RNAcentral.
CCUACGGGUGGCAGCAGUGAGGAAUAUUGGUCAAUGGACGCAAGUCUGAACCAGCCAUGCCGCGUGCAGGAAGACGGCUCUAUGAGUUGUAAACUGCUGUUGUACGAGGGUAAACGCAGAUACGCGUAUCUGUCUGAAAGUAGCGUACGAAUAAGGAUCGGCUAACUCAGUGCCAGCAGCCGCGGUAAUACGGAGGAUUCAAGCGUUAUCCGGAUUUAUUGGGUUUAAAGGGUGCGUAGGCGGUCGGAUAAGUUAGAGGUGAAAUCCCGAGGCUCAACUUCGGAAUUGCCUCUGAUACUGUUCGGCUAGAGCGUAGUUGCGGUAGGCGGAAUGUCUGGUGUAGCGGUGACAUGCUUAUAGAUCAUCCAGAACACCGAUUGCGAAGGCAGCAUACCCGCGCCCGACUGACGCUGAGGCACG